Molecule: long non-coding RNA, 760 nt
Organism: Xenia sp. Carnegie-2017
Lineage: Eukaryota; Metazoa; Cnidaria; Anthozoa; Malacalcyonacea; Xeniidae
Exons: 3
Source: RefSeq, a predicted model, not a curated record
UCGUGAGAACAAUAGAUUUCUAAAGAAAUGAACAAUGAUUAUCUUUAGAAACUUACGUAGCAGGAGUAAGUUUGCAGGCUGGCUAGGUUACUGAUGACAUUUCAUAAACUUUCCUUCUUUCUUAUCGUUGGUUUACUUCUUUUGAAGAGACUAGUGGAACUUUGGAUCUUCUCAAUAACUGUGUGGUAUAGUUAAGUUUUAUUUCCAUUAAAGACAUCUCUUACGUCAUUGCAGUGUUCUGAAUGGAGAAUUCAAGCAUUGAAACACAUGGCAUUGAUGAAUAUGGAAGCAUGAAACUCCUCUAAAGGUGUAGCUUCACUGAAAGAAAACAUGGAAGGAUUUCUUCAAGAAUUUCCCAUGUGGUCGAAUGAAAGAUUAAAUAACAUAAAUGAACUUUCUGGUAAAUUGAAGAACGAAGAUCUACAAAAUCAGGCCGAGAAAUCUGUUGCGGAGUACAAGGAAGUCGAGGAAAAGUUUUUAAAACGUCAGGAAACAUUAUAGAGGGCGGCCGUACGCGUACAGGUCUCUGAUGCAUCCACAAACGGUACCAGCGAGGGAUCGUCAUCUACAUCAACAUCGAACUCCACCUCGUGUGCAAACGAUGAGGAAGGAGACAUGGACAGUGAUGAUGCUGAUGAUAAAUUAGAUCUUCCUGAAGAUUUAUCUCCUACCAAGAAAGCUGCUCGUUCUGACGUCAAUGAAAAAGAACAACUGUUGUUUUAUAACUUAAAAGAUAUUGCUGGAGAACAAAAUGAACAAA